GACGAACGCUGGCGGCGUGCUUAACACAUGCAAGUCGAACGGAAAGGCCCCUUUGUGGGUACUCGAGUGGCGAACAGGUGAGUAACACGUGAGUAACCUUCCCUUGACUUCGGGAUAACUUCAGGAAACUGGGGCUAAUACCGGAUAGGAAUCCUUUCUGCAUGGGGGGGGUUGGAAAGCUUCGGCGGUUUUGGAUGGACUGGCGGCUUAUCAGCUUGUUGGUGGGGUAGUGGCUUACCAAGGCUUUGACGGGUAGCCGGCCUGAGAGGGCGACCGGCCACAUUGGGACUGAGAUACGGCACAGACUCCUACGGGAGGCAGCAGGGGGGAAUAUUGAACAAUGGGCGGAAGCCGGAUGCAGAAACGCCGCGGGCGGGAUGACGGCCUUCGGGUUGUAAACCGCUUUCAGCAGGGGCGAAGCUUGUGGUGACGGUACCUGCAGAAGAAGCACCGGCUAACUACGUG
Molecule: ribosomal RNA, 465 nt
Filed under: uncultured bacterium
Lineage: Bacteria
Description: partial 16S ribosomal RNA
Rfam family: Bacterial small subunit ribosomal RNA
Source: RNAcentral